This is a long non-coding RNA of Corapipo altera (White-ruffed manakin), 360 nucleotides long. RefSeq lists it as uncharacterized. The record is from RefSeq and is a predicted model, not a curated record. NCBI's taxonomy places the organism in Eukaryota, Metazoa, Chordata, Aves, Passeriformes, Pipridae. The transcript has 3 exons.
UGGAAUGGUUCCUUUUACCAGGGCCCACCAUGCAGCUUUGUGAAGACACAACUGGCCAGAUAGGGGAAAGGGUAAAAUUAGGGCAUCACAGUACCCUGCUGUUGUUUUGAUGGGAAAGAAGGACUGAUGAAACAAACUGGGCAUUUCAGUCUCUGCUCUAUCACAACUUAAAACAUAAGAUGCUCAGGGAGGGUACAGAGGAAAGAGAAAUAUAGACUGAAUGCCAAAACAACACUUGAAAGAAUUCUUGUUGUUCCACAGAACAACUCAGAGAGGAGAGAUAAAAGGAGAAAUAAAACAGUUGAGGCUUCUCUGUAUAAAUUGUGACUCUGGCAAAAACUACUGUUUGCACACAUAUAU